CUCAAAGGCCGAAAUAGGGAAAUGGGCUUUCAAGCCACUGGGAAUAGUAAAGGAAAUCUUUCCAGAGGAAGGAUCUUCGAUAAACAUGCCGGAAAUGGUGAUCCAAAUAAACAACUCCUUGCACUUAAUUCCUGUGAGUUUCUUAAUACCGCCAUUGUCUAUAAAAAAGUUGAUCUCUCUAUCGUACGAUACUACCUUAUUAAUCCGCUUAAAUUUGUGCUCUUUCUUGUUCUUCAGCUUCAUCCAGACCAGCCCAGUUGAUCGAUUUCGACCAAACUCUAUUAUUUCAACAGGUACGAUGCCCUUGGGCAAAGAUAUUUCCUCAAGCAGCUCCAAAAAUUUUUGCUUGCAAACAUCUUCUCCACAGUAAAUCUCAGCAUUUUCUCCGUGAGUCUCGGUAACUGAUGAUGGCAUUUUAAGCUCAAAGUUUGUUUGUUAAAAUGGGAAUUUCUGGGUCUUAUUUUAAACUCCUAGAAAGAAGGUUGGGUCUUAUUUAAAUUAAUCAAAGCAUUUAGUGUUGAUUUAAUUAACAUGCAUUAAUGUACUAAUUUGUAGGAUUAAUUGCCGUUGAAGUGUCUGGAAGAACUUAAUUUAGGUUGUGAGG
Molecule: long non-coding RNA, 604 nt
Filed under: Gossypium barbadense (sea-island cotton)
Lineage: Eukaryota; Viridiplantae; Streptophyta; Magnoliopsida; Malvales; Malvaceae
Description: long non-coding RNA (GBAR_LNC017262)
Source: RNAcentral